Non-coding RNA from Podarcis lilfordi (Lilford's wall lizard), 31554 nucleotides. The record is from the annotation of a GenBank genome assembly. Lineage: Eukaryota; Metazoa; Chordata; Lepidosauria; Squamata; Lacertidae.
GGAAGCAGCUCCUCUCCCUCCCUCCCUGCCGGCCAGGGAGGAGGGAGGCUCCAACUGUGUUGCUUGGCUGCGUUGCUCACCCAAUAAGGAGUCUAAGAACAACUGGGGGGUGGAGCUUGCAUGCCUUGUGCCGAUCAAAUCGGCCACGUUGCCUGGGGACUCGCCUUUGCUCAGCGCUUCCCAGCGGAGAGGUGACAGUGGUUUUCCUUGCUGCAUCCCCUUUGCCCGGGUUGCUGCGCUGUGGGGCUUGAGGCUUCGUUUGGCUGCUGGCUGGGCUUUCUGCCUUUGGCUCGGAGGGGCUCAGAAGUUGAACAUACCUGUGCUUGGAAAACCCCUUAUUUUGGCUGCUGAUUCCUUAUUUUCGAGGCUGCUGGUCCCUUGUUUUCAAAUAUGUAUCGGUAAGUUGACAGCUAUGGUCUGUCCUGAGUUAUGCAACUUCCUUCCACUCUGAGAUCAGACGUUCUAAAGAAGACGUUCUAAAUCCUUCCAGUGUUCAUUUUAACCAAAUUCAGAUUUUAUCAUUUUAACCAAUAUUUGUUUUCAGGUUUUUUGUACACCACAUAGAGAUUGCUGUAAUUAAUAUCCUGUGUUUUCUUCUGUGAACCCCCCCACCCCGAGAUCUUAGGACAACAUAAAAUUCUAAUAAAUAAAAUUAAAAAAUAAGGUGCAGCUCUAAAUUAUUGGAAUAAAAUAAAAUAAAUUGCAGCUGCUUAUGGAAGGUUGAGGAGUGAGGCAAUAUGCCCCCUGGUCUAUUUCUUCACGCUGUCUUGCUCCUGGUGGGAGUUGAGGUGCCAGAAGGACAUAGCCUGCCCAGACUUCUCCCCCAAGCUGUUCCCCCCGUUCUUUCUGCCCAGAGCACGUUCUCUUAAAGGGUGAUAAAGAGACAGGACUCUGGGAAUUAGCUAUCAGAUUAGGCUGAUUGAUUGAACUGAGUCAGCCAAAGGCCAGAACAGAAAGGGAAAGUACAUAAUACUAAACGCAAAGCAAAAUAGCAAUGGCAUAGUAACAAUGGGCAGUUAUAGAACAUGCAGCUGGAGAGAGAGAGAGAGAGAGAGAGAGAGAGAGAGAGAGAGGUGUUUCUGCGUGCACAAAUGAAAAGUAAAUUUAAUUUACUUUUUAAAAAAUGGACAGUGGUACCUCGGGAUAAGAACUUAAUUCGUUCUGGAGGGCCGUUCUUAACCUGAAACUGUUCUUAACCUGAGGUACCACUUUAGCUAAUGGGGCAUCGCGCUGUGGCCACGCCAUUUCUGUUCUCAUCCUGAGGUAAAGUUCUUAACCCGAGGUACUAUUUCUGGGUUAGCGGAGUCUGUAACCUGAAGCGUCUGUAACCCGAGGUACCACUGUAAGGGAAAGUCAUAGGGAAGGGGGGGGGAAUGACCUGCUUUGAGCCUCCGACAAUUAAGAUGGUAGAUCCCAUUGGAGUCAAUGGAACCAGAGUCUUAACAUUUUGCAUUUCUCUCAAUGGACUCUUAGUGCAACGAAGUCAGUCUCCAAACGGCGCCUAUUGAAUUUUAUGGAGGAAAAUAACAGGGUGCUCUCAGGGACGCAGCCUCCAAGGGCAGAACGUUGUUUUCUCUGCCAAGCAGAGCACAGUCCCAGUCAAGCAUAAGCUCUUUAUGUAAGUCUGGUUCUCAAUUAUUUACUUCCUUCUAAUUGUCAUGGUGAAUGUCAACCUAGUCCCUAAAUUCCUUUGCUGAGGCUCCCUGGAUCAGGAUGUGGCACAAUAGCUCUGCCCAAAGAGUUUGACCUCUGAGGAAGUGUUGACUAAGUGGACUGCCAGCUCGGCCCGGCAUACCAAUCAGACUUAAGGUAUAAUUCGAACACAGGUUCCACCCUGCCAUUUGACUUCCCUUGGAAUCAGCUUGAAAGCCUGCCCUGAGGCAGGUCCAUAAUACUGGGUUGCAGGCAGCUAAGUUCUACUCCAUGGGUAGGCAACCUAAGGCCCGGGGGGCCGGAUCCGGCCCAAUCUCCUUCUAAAUCUGGCCCGCAGACGGUACGGGAAUCGGCGUGUUUUUACACGAGUAAAAUGUGUCCUUUUAUUUCAAAUGCAUCUCUGCGUUAUUUGUGGGGCUUGCCUGGUGUUUUUACAUGAGUAGAAUGUGCGCUUUUAUUUAAAAUGCAUUUCUGGGUUAUUUGUGGGCCAUAGGAAUUCAUUCAUUCCCCCCCAAAAAAAUAUAGUCUGCACCCCCCCUCCACAAGAUCUGGGGGACAGUGGAUUGGCCCCCUGCUGAAAAAGUUUGCUGACACCUGUUCUACUCAGAAUAAACCCACUGAAAGUAAUGGUCCUACAUUAGUCGUGUCUGCUAAUGUCAAUGGGUCUACUCUGAGUAGGACCAAAUAAAACCCAUUGCCUAUUUGCAGGUAGGACCUGCUGCAAAAACGUUGCAAUGCAGAAAUGUCCCUUUGACUCCUGCAGGUGACUUGUUCACAAAGCUUGCCCUGAAGUUACAUGACAGCCCCUCUUUAUUGAACAUCCGUCCUGAUUUGGUUGCAGGGAGGUUAUACGUCAUCCUGUCAAUCGAUGGUCCGUGCCACGCUUCUUAAUGCAUUUUCCGAAUUGAAAAAAAAAGAAGAAAGAAAGUUGUACUUUUAAGUGGAUUUGUUGUGCUUAAAUCCGACCAGAACAAUCCAACACAAAGCUCUUGCACUGGGCUGUGGGGUGGGGAUUGGAUGGAGUCAAGGCAUCUCUCUGUAGUAUAGCUGUCAACUUGCAGAUUUGAAAAUAAGGGACCAGCAGCCUCGAAAAUAAGGGAUCAGCAGCCAAAAUAAGGGAUCAACAAUUACUUUGAUAAAAUACAUAUUUUGUUGCAUGCAAAUGGCUUUAGAUACCUGUUAGGUCCAUAAAUUACCAUAUAGCAUAUAUUCAACACAAAAAAACAGCAACAAUUUGUUGUUGACAAAGGACAGCUGGACAUAGAAAAGGCCCCAUUACCUUCAGUAGCUUAUUUAAGGGACAUCAUCAAUAAGGGACAGCAGUGGGACAUGGCGCUGGGAUAAGGGACUGUCCCACCAAAUAAGGGACGCUUGACAGCUAUGCUCUGUAGGCAAGUGGGAGGCCAGCUAGUAGUUUUUCUACAGAUAGGCCCAAAAUGAGGCAUUUCAAGGCCCAGGAGGCGGCAGAGCUGAACCAGCCUGGAAUCCAUUGGAUCCUGAGCCAGCCUCCGCCCAAUUGAGACAUGGCACCAGACCCAAUCCAGACCAGCUCCCUACAACAGCCUGAAACCUGGCCAGGGAUAAUCCUGCCCCUCCCACCUUCCUCUGCGGCUGCUCCACAAACCCCACGGGGAAGGGAGUGGAGGAUUAGUCUCCCAGCCUUAAUCCACUGGUAAUUGCAUAAACCUAAAUUUCCAGUGUGCAACUGAAUCCCUCUUGCAAAAUAGUGGCAGUCUGGAUAGCAGGCUUGCCUUUUUUUCUGGGAGACUCCAGCCCAUUCCUCUCUCACAAAAGCACACACUCUUUUUCUCACCCACCCCCAACAAGCAGGUGGUAUCAGAAGGCUUGGGAGAACCCCAAGAGCUGCAGGGACACAAACAGCUUUUUGUAUUUUGAAAUAUACUCGGAGUCAAGAGUGGAUUUCAUGCUCUUUAUUCAGCUCAUAGUAGUGAGGAAUGGAAGUUCCCCCAGAAUGUCUGCUUUAUAUACAUUAUUUACACAAUGGGCCCCACGUGAUUGGCUAAUUCGGGAUUCUCCUGUAGGCCAAUCAGGUUGCGGAUUCACUUCCACCUGGAGCUGGAUUGGGUGGCUCCUGUGGAUCAAUCCGACUGCUCCAUUCUGGAUCCUAUUGUUCUAGGACCAAUCAGACUGCUGCAUUCUGGAUCCUAUUGUUCUAGGACCGAUCAGACUGCUGCAUUUUGGAUCCUAUUGUUCUAGGACCGAUCAGACUGCUGCAUUCUGGAUCCUAUUGUUCUAGGACCAAUCAGACUGCUGCAUUCUGGAUCCUAUUGUUCUAGGAGCGAUCAGACUGCUGCAUUCUGAAUCCUAUUGUUCUAGGACCAAUCAGACUGCUGCAUUCUGGAUCCUAUUGUUCUAGGAUCAAUCAGACUGCUGCAUUUUGGAUCCUAUUCAACCCAGUACAUAAAAUAUCGGGGGGGACGUAAAAGGAACCCCCAAAACUCAGCUCAAGAGGACUGAGCAGACAAGGAACAGUGAUUGGGGGAUAAAUGGGAAACUUGGUGGAAGGGAAUGAGAAUUGUAGAGUUGGAAGGGACCUCCGAGGGUCAUCUAGACCAACCCCGUGCAAUGCAGGAAUCUCAGCUAAAGUACCGAUGCCAGAUGGCUACCCAAUCUCUGCUUAAAAACCUCCAAGGAAGGAGAGUCCACCACAUUCCAAGGGAGACCGUCCCACCAUCAAACAGCUCUUACUGUCAGUAAGUUCUUCCUGCUGUUUAGUCAGAAUCUCCUUUCUUGUAACUUGACGCCAUUGGUUCGAGUCCUACCCUCCAGGGCAAGAGAAAACAAGCUUCCCAGGUAUGUUGGGAACUGGCAAUCUGUUUAGCCAACCCUUUGGGCAGUGGUGCUGUGCUGAACCAAAGCUGUGUUCAGUCUUUUACCGAAAGAAAGAAAAAGAGAGAACAUAAAAACAUCCUAACCGUCAUUAUUUCCAUUCCUUGUGCUCAGUGAUAUUAGCACAGGGAAAGAAUUGGAAAAAUAAAUAAAUAGCAUCUUCUUCUUGACCUCCAGAGGUGCCCAACAGCAGGACCAAGGGGUCCUUCAGAGUCCUGAUUUAACCCCUGAUGAUGGAAACUCGGAAAGAUCAGGUCUGGACCCUCUGUGAGCGACCAAGCUGAACCCAAACCACCAGCCAUGUCAUGUAGUCUUCCGGCCGUUUAACAGCUUUCUUGUUUUUGCAGUUCUCCAGACAGGUAUUUGCAUCAGGAAGUGUAUUAAGACCUGGCAAGACGCCCUGUAUCCAUGGCUAGAAGGCUGCAUUUACCAUGAUUGCAGGCCUCUCAAGAAACCUUAGCGUCCUGUUCUUGUUUAUUAAAAUGGAUUAGUCAUUUGGGGGCCUAUACCUGAAGCCUGGAAAAGUUUCUCUGACCCUCAACAGCCAUUUCUCUGACCCCCAAGAGCCAGGGGUAAAACAUCUUGUAUGCCGAGACAAAGUAUACAUUUUGUGCUGAUGGUCUAAAGUAACGGAUUUCCAUUCAUUCAUAAUUUUAUUUGUAUGCCAACUUUCCACUCAGCUCUCACCUGUGGCUCUUAGAAGCUGUCAGCGUGUAACAGCGGCCGCACCCCAGGAAUGGUUUGACUGGCCAGCUAAACAAGAUGUGAUUGAGGAACUUCCCCUGUAUGUGUCCAUCCCUGCCACGGUGGAGACUAAGUCUCCUGCCCCUGGUGGGGAGUGGGUGGCCACGCGGUCCACCGCAACUCCUCCCCACGGGGAAGGGGAGCGGAUUUCUGCUCUUAGAUGCUAAGCCCAGCUUUCACCAUCUUGGCGUCUACUGAGGUUUUUGGACUAUAACUCCCAUCAGCCCCACGACAGGAAUAACGUAGUUUUGCACACCUUGCUUCAUAGCAAGUAACGCAAAGCAGGAGACACAGCAGAAGGCCCUGGCUGACUAUGCCCUCUGACGUGUGUCACUCAUCAGUUCAUCCAGUUUCUUAUUCAAACGUGCGUUCUCUUCUCGGUAUUGCUCUUUCUUGCAUUUGGUUCCUGUUCUGUAGAACUUCUACUUUGGAGGUUAGAUCGUUGAUUAAUACCUGCAUGGGAGCCACUGUGGCCUUCAGUGUUUCGGCUAAUCUCGCUUCCAUUUCCCUCAGAUCUCGUUUUGUUACUGGAUGGUCGUCAUCUUGAAGGGGUGUUGCGGUCUCAGCACUGUUUGCCAUCUCCCUGUUUGGUGUCAUCUCAAUCUCCUUAAUGGUUUGGGUUUGAGGUCUGUUUGGCGUCCUCUUGGAGUAGGGCGUGUUGCGGUUAGGAGUUGUAGCGGUGGUGGUUCCUGGGUGUUGUUGGGUCGCUGAGCUGAUCAGCCGUUGUUGACUGGUGGCUUUUACAGAGCGUUCGGAUUAGGUGGCCAUUGGUGUUACUUCUAGGCUGUGUUUUAAGAGCUUCUCUGGGGUUUCCGUAGUGGCCUCAGCGGUGCCGCCGAGGCGGGGGGGCGGUCAGGUAAGCAGAGAGGCGGAUAGACCAACAGACAGACAGUUCACAUAGAGGGAGGGGGUUAGCAGGCAGAGAUCUGCGAGAUCAGAGGGGUGGGGCCAGGGGAAAUGUGUGUUUACGAGGGGUUGUAUAUACACAAAAGGGGUACUGGGGUCCAGUUAAGGUGGAGGGUGGGUGAAAUAUACUCAGAGUCGAGAGUGGAUUUCAUGCUCUUUAUUCAACUCAUAGUGGUGAGGAGGAAUGAAAGUCCCCUCAAAGUAUCUGCUUUAUAUACAUUAUUUACACAAUGGGCUGAACAUGAUUGGCUAAUUCCAGAAUUCUCCUGUAGGCCAAUCAAGUUGUGGAUUCACUUCCAUCUGAAACUGUAUUGGGUGGCUCCUGCAGACCAAUCAUAGUGCUGCAUUGUUCUAGGACCAAUCAGACUGCUGCAUUCUGAAUCCUAUUGUUCUAGGACCAAUCAGACUGCUGCAUUUUGGAUCCUAUUCAACUCAGUACAUAACACUGGGGUUGGGGAUGCAUUCGGAAACAGAACCAGACAAACGGACUCUCCUCCUUUCCCUUGGCAGCUGGAGCGCAGUGGCGACGGCCGCAGGGUUAGGGCUUCUCCUCUCCCCUUCCGCGACUGCUUCUGAGUUCCUCUGGCCCCCCGGGCUCCGAAUCGACGUGUGUCACUCAUGAAGAUGAUGACACACUUCCUGUGGUGCACCUCACAUGAAAACUACCUUCUCUCUGAGCCCUGACAGUUUCCCUGUUUGUGAAACGGGGGUAAUGAGGAAGCCAGCGAUGUGCUGUGGUGGGAAGAGCAUCCAUCUAGGGCCAGAGAGGGAGAACCGGGUCCAAAACAAUCCCAGCGACAAAGCUUGUUAAAUGACCCAUGGGGCACUUACACGGCCUACUCGAAGGGUUGUUGGAAGGACAAAACAGGGCCAAGCGUGGGGACACUUGAAAUGCUUUAAGAGCCCACAAAAGAACCUCAUGCGGCGGAUUUCUAAGGAAACCUGGUCAUGAGUUAGAGCAUGCCAUCAAAUAAAAUAGAUGUUAUGAAACACUAUUCCUGGGAAGGACACAGUAAACACAGUAAAUCAUCGUGUGAAGAACUGCUUCUGAAGACAGGAAUUUGGGCAUUCGCAGCCCAUUAAUCUCCAGAUGUAAGACCGACAUCUGGGGGAAGGGGGGGGUGUUCUUGUUGCAAUGCUUUAGCCCUCAGAAAGUUGUUAAAAAAAACUUUUAGAAAGGACAAAAGCGAGUAAAAGGCAACAUUUUGGAAACCAUAUUUCUGUUUAUCGGGGUGGAUGCAGCGAGGCAGAUUGCUGAGGGGUGAAAUAUGCCUGCCUCAAGAAGAGUUUUGCAUGCAAGGAGAAAGCAGGCCCUUGGUGCAGCUUGAGAAUUUAUAGCGAGGAAGGCUACACAUUUCAAAGGUAUUCAUGUAGCUUUCCCCAGAUUUCUCUCUCUUUUUUUAAUAAUAUUUUUUAUUAAUUUUUAGCAUACAAAAUUUUUUAAGACAUACCACACAAAUUAUUAUACAUAUGUCCUUGUUUGGACUUCAGCAUCUCUGAUAGUCUUCCGUCUUGAUUAUUUCUCCUGCAAUUCUUAACUUAAUAUUGCCUUUACCUUUUCUAACAAAUCAUUUCCCCCUUUCCAUUUUUACAAUAUUUCUUAAAUUACUCCUCACAGAACUUCUUGUAGUCCUACAAACGUAAUCUGAUCAUCACAAAUACUUUUCAAAUACUCAGCAGCAAGAAUAUUAUUGGCCCAAAAAUGGAAGCAAGAAGAACUACCAACAUUAGAAGAAUGGAGGAUGAAAUUGAUGGACUACGCAGAAUUAGACAAGCUAACAGGAAGGAUCCAAGACAGGCAGGACCAGAGGUUUACCGAAGACUGUUCCCCAGAUUUCUCAAGAUGAAAAACAGCCAUUGGAGGCAGGAAGAACCAGGAAUGGAAGAAAGCUGUGUGGGGAGGGGUUCAACUUAACCCAUUUCCCCCUAAUAUUCAACCGCCUUACAGGGGUGUUCUAAGUACUGCCACAAGAUUACAUAUGUGAAGUGCUUUGGAUAUCUUGCCGUGGGGAGAGGCAAUGGGGGGAUUGUUUAGAGUCAGGAAAUGAUGGGAAGGCAGGAGUUAAGUGCCUUCUGCCCACCUGUCUUGAUGACAGCCUCCUGCAGCUGUUUUUCAUAAGUGAAUAAAAUACAGGAUCAGCCUUCCAGGAGGAAAUUACACCAAAUUCCAUGUACUUUGGUCCUUAGAUCACGUUUCACAUUUUGCCAGAGAACUGAAACAGAAACUCUUCUUGAUACUGCCUUCCUUCCUUCCUUCCUUCCUUCCUUCCUUCCUUGACAUUGUAAGCACUGUAUUAAAAAUAAAUAAAUCACAAGGACAAAGAAGGGUUGCUAACCUAACUUUAGAACUGAAAUUAAUUGGGGGAGCAGGGAGGGAGAGAGAGAGAGAAUUUUCCCUUGCCUUGUGACUUGCCUUGUGAAAAUUAAAAUCAAAUACCCUUGCAAAAAUUGAAAUGUGUCUACGUUGGGUCCUCCCGAGAUGAUGUUUGGCCCACUUUCCAGAGACAGGAGGAGAGGAGGGCAGAGAGAGAAGACAGAAGUGUGUCUUCCUGCCAGUAUUUUCACGUUAUCCUGGCUGUAUGGGAAGAAGUGGAGCUAUAGCCAAAGACAGGUGCCUUAUAGAGAGCAAGGUGGGAGCUCUCUGCAGCUUUGAUCUUGCUUGGAGAACCGCAGGCAACCUGCCCCCUCUCAGCCUCAGGUCCAGUCCAUCAACAAUAAGGCAGUACAGUGGAACCUUGGUUCUCAAACUUAAUCCAUUCCAGAAGUCUGUUCCAAAACCAAAGCGUUCCAAAACCAAGGCACGCUUUCUCAUAGAAAGGAAUGCAAAACAGAUUAAUCCGUCCCAGACUUUGGAAAACAACCCCUAAAGCAGCAAUUGAACAUGAAUUUUACUAUCUGACAAGAGUAACAAUGUACUUGUAGUCACGCACGCAAUCAAUCAAUCAAUCAGUAGCUGAACUGGGUUCCACACAGUCACAAAAACAAAACAAGAAAGAGCCGCAAAAAUGGAAACAUAAAAUAAAUAGCAAAACCAGACAGACCUCAGCAUAACACACAAAAUGGAAGUGUGGCACUCAAAACGUAAGUGUAACACUCAAAACGGAACAUGUUCGGCUUCUGAAAAAAGUUCGCAAACCAGAACACUUGCUUCUGGGUUUGCAGUGUUUGGGUUCCAAGUUGUUUGAGUACCAAGGCAUUUGAGAACCAGGGUACCACUGUAAUAAUGCUAGCCUACCUCGGAGCAUUGUCGUAGGGAUCACUCAGGCAAUGUAUGCGCUUACAAUGCUCCAGGCUGCUAUGCAAAGGCUAAGUAUAGAGAACUGGCGAAAGGGUCCUUUCCAUCUGCAGAUCCCAAGUCAAAGUGCUGUUCUGCCAAGUGCUGUUUGUGCAACGAUCCUGACUCCAGCACACACUUACAGCUGUCCUGGCUGCCCUGAGUUAAGAAUACAUGCCGUCUUUUAUUAUUAAACAUGCCGUCUACCUCUUACGGACAGCGCAUGCAGAGAGCAUCAUACAUUUGUAAUAAGGUUUGACACGCACAGAGAGAAACCCAUCACAAUUCGCAAAAAAAAGGAAGAAAGGUAUAAAUAGUUACAAGGCUGAACAAUAGCAGCAAUGGACUUCUUUACCCAAUCUUGGAACCUUAGCCGACCAGAGGGAGGUUCUCCUUUUCUGGGAAAGCUGUGUGUACACACACACACACACACACACACACACAUCUGUUUGGAACAGAAAAUGGCUGAUGUAAUUGGUCAAAGACAUGCACCAGUGCUGCUUUUUCAAAAAAACAACCACCACCACCCAGUUCUGCUGGAUAGGCUGCACCGAAUAGCAAAACGGCUGCUUUGUAUUCAAGUAGCAGGACAAAAGUGAAACCAGUCAACCAUUUAUUGCAGGGUUGGGGAACCUUUUGCCUAGGGGCCAAAUGAGGACACCAGCCCUCUCUAUAUGGCCCUCAGGAUUCCCCCUUAGGCCACACCCACUAGUGGCUGGAACAGGGCUGUAAGGCUACUCAGUCCAGGCUUUAAAAUUACAGGCGACUCCGCACUUACGUUCCAGGGAGUUUUUACAGAAUGUGGUAGGCUAUUAAUAUCUACAUGCGUAUUAGGAUAAUAGCACUAUAUCAAUUUAUAUAAGGAUGUAUGGGAGUAUAUAGGAACGCGGGUGGCGCUGUGGGUUAAACCACAGAGCCUAGGACUUGCCGAUCAGAAGGUUGGCAGUUCGAAUCCCCACCACGGGGUGAGCUCCCAUUACUCGGUCCCUGCUCCUGCCAACCUAGCAGUUCGAAAGCACGUCAAAGUGCAAGUAGAUAAAUAGGUAGGAAGGUAAACAGCGUUUCCGUGCACUGCUCUGGUUCGCCAGAAGCGGCUUAGUCAUGCUGGCCACAUGACCCGGAAGCUGUACGCCGGCUCCCUCGGCCAAUAAAGCGAGAUGAGCACCGCAACCCCAGAGUCGGCCACGACUGGACCUAAUGGUCAGGGGUCCCCUUUAUGGAAGUAUAUUAGAUUGCAUUUUUGUAUAUUGUGUUUUUUUUCCUUAUACACAUCUUUGUUCUUUUCCCUCUCACUUCCCCCCUUUCCCCCCUCUGUAUCACGUUAUUUGUUUAUCACUGAAAUUCUUUCAAUAACAUAUUGACACUAAAAGUUAAAUGCACGUAAGUUGCAAGUUGCCUUUUCCUAGCGCUGCUUUCCUGUAUGAAUUGUGUGGAAAAGGCAUUUCACGAGUUGCACAGAGCUAAGGCAUGCGGAUGACACUGCCAACACACCCACCCCAAUACCCAUGUGUUGGUCCUGGCAAAACCUAUGAGAGUUGGGAAAGGGCUAUAGCUUAGCAGUAGAGCAUAUACUUGGCUGAGGGUUCCAGAUUCAGUUCUCAGUGGCAUCUUCAGGUAGGGCUGAAAAUUUAAUUCUGUGCAACUUGAAGUGGAUUAAAGUGCUCUGUCAGUCUAGUGCAACAAAUCCACUUUUAAUAAAGAGACAGGCCUUUUGCAGUUAGGAAAGUGACAGGGAACUGUAUUGAAAAGCGUGGCAUGCUUGGCUGAUUAAGAGGGAGUCAAAUAAAUACCUCGCAAGCACGGACGAAGGAUGAACCUUCAGUUUCAUAUAAUCUUCCCCAUUAGGGAUGGGCAAAUCUCAGUUUUGGUUUCUCUCCCUUGCUCAUUUUCCUACUCCACAUUUCCACAUCAGUUUGCCUUUAAAAAAGAGCCAGUGUGGUGUGGCGAGAGCCAGUGUGGUGUAGUGGUUAAAAGCGGUAGACUCGUAAUCUGGUGAACCAGGUUCGCUUCCCCGCUCCUCCACAUGCAGCUGCUGGGUGACCUUGGGCUAGUCACACUUCUCUGAAGUCUCUCAGCCCCACUCACUUCACAGAGUGUUUGUUGUGGGGGAGGAAGGGAAAGGAGAAUCUUAGCCGCUUUGAGACUCCUUCGGGUAGUGAUAAAGCGGGAUAUCAAAUCCAAACUCAUCCUCCUCAUAAAAAACCACCAGCAUUUCAGUGCGAAUUUCUCCUUGCACACAACUUUGCAUGUGCUUUCCCCUAAUACAAUGCACUGCUGUAUGUUGUAUUCACUAACAUACACAAGCUUUUAAUGCACACUUUACACUAGUAGACACAUUUUCGCACUCAUUACUUGCUUGAACUGCACUGCAAAAUUCAGAGAAGCGAGGAUAUCAGAGGUGGGUUGUGUUUUGGUUUGUUUGUCGUUCUGGAAAGCAUGAAUUAGGCAAGUUCACCUUUGAAUGUGAACCAAACUGACUUUCUCCAUUUUUCCCUGCCUCUUUCUUUCUUUCUUUCUUUCUUUCUUUCUUUCUUCACCCUCUCCACCUUGGCAGAGGAGAGAGCCAUGAUUGCGAAAGCUGGACACAUUGCAAGAUUUGGCAUGUGUGUUUGUGUGUAUGUAAAGCAAUGAAACAGGAGAGUUGCAAAGUUCACAUUAAUCAUAAGUUCAAUGGCGCUUGGCUCUAAGGCAACAUUUGCUGGCACUGAUUCGAGUUCCAGAGCCCGAGGUGGAAAGGCUGCUGAAGGAAAAAGCUGGCGCAACCAGCCAGUUGGGAUUACCAACUCUCCGAAAUGAAUCUGUUGCCCAUUGCUUAUUUGCAAGCAUUAAUGGGAGCCAGGAGUACAAGGGAACAACAGCCCAAGGUCCUUCAGCCAGUGCUGUGCAUUUGCUGCUGUUCUGCGUGAGCACAUGCAUACAAAAUGACAUAGCGACUGCAAAAUUCGGGUUCCUGGAAAUGUAAGCUUUUGGUUUGCUUUAAUCAGGUGUCAAGUCUUUACGGUUGCAAAGCUCUUCUUGUGCCAUGAAAUCUCAGAAGCCAAACUACAAGUUAAAUUAGCUCUGUAGUGACAUAUCAGCACAUGUGGUGGGAGUGUCCAAAAAGGUUUUGGAAAAAGGUAUUUGCAGAAAUAUAUUUCAUUACAAGGCAAACAGUUCCCAUGACUGCAGCACUAGCUCAACUUAAUUUGUAUAGUCAUGACACGUUGCAAAUUAGAAAUAAAGGACUCAUAACACAUCUAUUAACUGCUGCAACAAUAACCAUUGCCAGGACAUGGAAAUCAUUACAAUUAUUGACUGUGGAUCAAUGGUUUAAUGCAAAUUGGCAAACAGUGCUAUCGGAAAAGCUGACACAAUAAUAAAAACUAGCAAGAGGCCAAAAGAAGCAUGACAAUUUUUAUACAGCUUGGUGUGAUUUUAUUGAUUGUACGAAUAAUGAGCCAUAUGGCAAAACAGUACCCAUAGUUUACAGCACAGUUUGGUGUGCAGGAAGUAUUUUAAUUUCCCCUUUUCUCCCUUACUUAUGCCCUAUAAAUUUCUAUAAAUCCUCAUAAAUUAAAAUUGUUAUUGUUUUCAAAACACCUUUUACUAGUGGUCAGCAAUCUAAGCAGAUACAUUAUUAUACAUAAUUUCAUAUCUAUAAUAAUUUUAUAUAUAUAUAAUUACACACACACACACUUUAAGACAACUUGUUGAUAUAUUCAGAAAUGAUUAUAAAAUUAUUAAAAUAUAUAUUCAGAAAUGAUUAUCUGAGCCCAAAACUGUUGUUUGAUUUUAAUUCUCAUUUGAUGUAAUGGUGGCGUGUCAUAUGUCUGCAUGUAGUAAAUAAAUAAAGUUUAAUUAAAAAUUAGCUUUGUAGCUGACCUUUCAGCCCAAGGGGUGGGUUGUUGUUGUUGUUGUUACACAAAUUGCCUCGUCUCGACCUGUGACCUGAAUCAGGACCCUAAUGUGGGAGCUAUGGGACUUCAAAGGGUUCAAAGGGGGAAUUGAAAAGGCUAAACUCCCUCCUGCUGUGUUCCUGGUUCAGAUCAGGGCCCCUGCCAAGUAGCAAUCACUGCAGGUUACUGGAGAGCUCAACCGUCAGAGCAUAUGACUCGUCAUCUCAGACUCAUGGGUUCGAGCCCCACAUUGGGCAAAAUGUUCCUGCAUUGCAAGGGGUUGGACUAAAUGACCUUUGGUGUCCCUUCCAGCCCUACAAUCCCAUGAUUCUACGAUUCCGUGACGGGAGGUACUAUAAGUGCCUCUGCCCUGCCCAGCCAACGACUAUUUGUUCCAUGCCUACAAUUUGCAUUGCGGAGGGGGAAUUCCCACACUACCUGCGGCCUCACUGAAAUCCAGGAAGAAUUCAGAUAUACUGCAGCCCAAAGUUCACAUCGUAUGCAAACGUGUCUAGUGGUAGUCUGAGAGAUCGUUUAUUACAGGCAAACAUAAAUAAAUAAAUGGGAGGAGGGAAUCCAAUUGGGAGCAAAGAUAUGUAACAGGGAGGGAAAAGGACAUUUACAGUAUUUUCUGGCAUAUAAGACUACUUUUCAACCCAGGAAAAUCUUCUCAAAAGUCAGGGGUCGUCUUAUAUGCUGGCUACAGCAGCAGCUCCUGCAGCAGCUCCCCACCAAAGGACAAAAUGACCUCAAAUUAAAUCAGAGGACACCGAGCUCUCUAGAUGAAACAGAAAUACGCUUGAAAAGUGGCCUCAGAAGCCCCCCCAAUCACCAGCAACAGAACUCUAACCGCUCCCGGUAGUAGACCACGUGGUCCAAAAUGGUGGCCUCGCGUUGCCCCAGCAACUAGACAUGUGGCCGCUGCCUCAGCCCAAGCAGCCCCACAGUAAAAGAAAGGGAAAGGCUAACAACAAAGGCAGGGAACCAACAAUAGCAUUAAGUGCACCUCCAGCCACUGGGAAGUGGAGUGAAUUUCCGAGCCGGACUGAAGACUGAUUUUGUAAAAAAUUUUGUUUGGUGUGCAUUGGAAGAGGGGUAGUCUUAUACGGCGAGUAUAUCCCAAACUCUAUAUUUUAACUAGAAAAGUUGGGGGUCGUCUUAUACGCCCAGUCGUCUUCUACUCCAGAAAAUACGGUAGUUUUUCCCCCUCAUUUGCCAGGGCCAUCAUCAGGCAGAGUGAGGCCACUGAUUUUUGGUGCCCUGAAAAGAUAGCUAACCAUGACCUGCCAAGGAAAACAAAGAAUUUAUUUAUGUAUGCAACAACAGCGGCAAGAGUCUUGAUAGCACAAGGAUGGAAGAAUGAGGAAACCCCGACAAAAGAACAGUGGCAAGAGAAAUAGAUGAACUACGCAGAAUUGGCUAAACUGACAUACAAACUGCGAGAUGAGGACAACUGUGACUUUAAAGAAGAAUGGGAACUUUUUACAAAUUGCUUAAAAAGACAACAAAAUGAAUUGGACUCCUUGGCAGGUUUUGAAUAAGCAUACACAAAUUUAUUGAUUGAUAACAUGGUGGGCAGAUAAUGUAAGGAUUUGUAUAAUUUUAUAACAUGCAAAGAAUAAUAUGUGCUGAGAAAUCAGAGAGAGGAGCUGAAGGAAGUUUCUGGGGGAGGGGAGAAAAUAAUGAAUAUGAUAUGUUUAGAUAUGUUGUUAUGUUGAAAUUGCUAAUAAAAACAUUUAAAAAAAACAAAAAAAUGUGCUCUUUAGCACAAUUUUUUUUAAAACGCUUGUUGUUGUUUAGUCAUUUAGUCGUGUCCAACUCUUCGUGACCCCAUGGACCAGAGCACGCCAGAUACUUCUGUCUUCCACUGCCUCUCACAGUUUGGUCAAACUCAUACUGGUAGCUUCGAGAACACUAUCCAACCAUCUCGUCCUCUGUCGUCCCCUUCUCCUUGUGCCCUCCAUCUUUCCCAACAUCAGGGUCUUUUCCAGGGAGUCUUCUUUUCUCAUGAGGUGGCCAAAGUAUUGGAGCCUCAGCUUCAGGAUCUGUCCUUCCAGUGAGCACUCAGGGCUGAUUUCCUUCAGAAUGGAUGCGUUUGAUCUUCUUGCAGUCCAUGGGACUCUCAAGAGUCUCCUCCAGCACCAUAAUUCAAAAGCAUCAGUUCUUCGGCGAUCAGCCUUCUUUAUGGUCCAGCUCUCACUUCCAUACAUCACUACUGGGGAAACCAUAGUUUGAACUAUACGGACCUUUGUUGGCAAGGUGAUGUCUCUGCUUUUUAAGAUGCUGUCUAGGUUUGCCAUUGCAUUUCUCCCAAGAAGCAGGCUCAAUUCAUUAAUACUGCAUUUAGGCUGCCAGGAAGGAUGUUCCAGAUUUAGCCUCCCGCAGCAGUAUCUCCAGGCUGGGAUUUCUUGUGUGAAAUUCCUGGAGCGCAGCUGCCGGUCAGUGCACAGUCAGAUGCACCAAUUGCCUGAGUCACUAUAAGGCAAUCGCCUGACACCAGUGGCCGACAACACUUUCUGGCAGCGAGAGCUGCAGAACGGACUCCUUCAAAAUGUGGUGGCCUUCACUGGAGAUUUCUAGGCAGAGGCUUGAUGGCUGCUGUGAUUCCUGCAUUUCAGGCGUUUGGACUAAAUGACCCGUUGGUUACCAGUCGCAUCACAGGCAUCUAUUUGGCCAUGGUGAAAACAGGAUACUGGUCUCUUCUUAUGUUCUUCAUUUUUAUAUUUCGGCGACAACAUUCCACGUUUGUUAGUGAAUGAAUUUUAUUAUUACGGUCACAGACCAGUUCCGGGUCACUUACAGUAUCAGAAAAAUCAUAAAACACAACAGGGAUACAUUGAAUUGCAACUGGGUAUAACAGAGACAAUUCAGAUAUAGCGGCAGUUAAAAAUAUAUAUAAAAUCUUGGUCACUAAAAUAUAACCUAAAAUGAUCAUUUAAAACCUUAAUCAUUUUGGUAGUACAGCUUGUUCCCUAAGUUUCAUGGCAGUCGCAGAAAAUUUGGCCACCCUUAGCGUAAUCUCUUGAUCCUUGUCCUCUACCAGGGAUUUUAGACACAGAUGUUUGUUAGUCUCCCCGCUCCUGACCUAUGCUUUUAAAACAUUUUAGAUCUCUCCAGGGCUUUGUUUUCGGGCGGAACUCACUGGAACUCAGUUCCGGCACCUCUUGGGCGCCAUUGCCAUUAUAAGAGAACAAGGGAGGCGUGAGUUCCAGCACCUCUUUUUCGAGAAAAAUAGCACUGGAUCUCUCUCUCUCUUUCUUAAUAAUAAUAAUAAUAAUAAUAAUAAUUUAUUAUUUAUACCCCGCCCAUCUGGCUGGGUUUCCCCAUUCACUCUGGGCGGCUUCCAACAAAGUACAGUGGUAACUCGGGUUAAGUACUUCAUUCGUUCCGGAGGUCCGUUCUUCACCUGAAGCACCACUUUAGCUAAUGGGGCCUCCUGCUGCCGCCGCGCCGCCAGAGCACGAUUUCUGUUCUCAUCCUGAAGCAAAGUUCUUAACCCAAGGUACUAUUUCUGGGUUAGUGGAGUCUGUAGCCUGAGGCGUAUGUAACCUGAAACGUAUGUAACCCGAAGUACCACUGUACUAAAAUACAGUAGUCUGUUAAAGAUUAAAAGCUUCCCUAAAGAGGGCUGCCUUCAGAUGUCUUCUGAAAGUCUGAUAGUUGUUCUUCUCUUUGACAUCUGGUGGGAGGGCAUUCCACGGGGCAGGUGCCACCACCGAGAAGGCCCUCUGCCUGGUUCCCUGUAACUUGGCUUCUCGCAGUGAGUGAACCGCCAGAAGGCCCUCAGCGCUGGACCUCAGUGUCCGGGCAGAAUGAUGGGGGUGGCGACGUUCCUUCAGGUAUACUGGACCGAGGCCAUUUAGGGCUUUAAAGGUCAGCACCAACACUUUGAAUUGUGCUCGGAAACGCUCUCUCUCCCUCUCAACAUUUCUCUCCUGCUUCCACUUUCUCCCUAAUGUGAGUAAUCUGGUUCUUCUCCGACUGCUCCAACUGGGAGCUGCUGCUGCUGCUGUUUCCAGCUGCUUCGAUGCCAAGUGGAAUAACGUCCUCCAGAGCGGAUGUUGGAACGAUGAACAUGAAUUUCCCCCAAGAAAACACUCCUGGCCCCGGAUGCCAAACAUCUCCCGGCUCUUCCUGGGAAGAGGCAGCGCCGCCGAGAUGCUUGGAAUUCACACGGCAUGAUGUCAAACAUUCCGCCGAAGCCGUUCUCUUCGCCCGACAAUCCCUUUUGUUUAGGAAUGGAAAGAGCCAGGGCUCCCGCGACUUUCCCUUUUUUGAGCAAAGGGUGGGAAGAAGCCAACGGGAGUUUUACUGCAUGGCCUGCUGUUUGUAGCAACCCAGUGGGAGGGGAGGCUUCCUCUGAGAUUCAGGAACCCCUGGAGGCGGAACAACUUUUUAUAUCUGCAACUUGGUAUUGAAUUUGAUAGCAUCAGCCAGGCAUUACCUGCAUGUGUGAAUGGCCAUUGCAGAGUUUGCAUGAAGGCUAGAACUCAUUACAACAACCCUUUAAAAAAAAAUAUUUGUACUUUUCAGACUUAAACAUUUCACUAAUUUUACAAUCGUUUCGACAUUUCAAAACCUGACUUCCUUCCUCCACUUUCUGCGGUUCCUUAUAUUUAUUUUUAAUAUCUUCUGCAUAUCCAAAUGAUCUUAAUUUGUUCACUUAGUCAUCUUCUUUAAAUGUAUACUCUUAUGAAACUGCAGGCUAUUGCAAUAACCCUGGGAAUGUUUUUAUCUGUUUACAAUUUAUCUGUAAAUAUUCAAUUAACCAUUUCCAUUCUCUUAUUUAAAAAAAAAAAAAAAAGUUUGCUAUAUUGAUUUCUUAUUCUUCCGGUAACAUUUUUGCCGCUGUAGUCGCAUGCAUAAAUAAGUUUCUAUACAUUUUAGGCAGUUCUGUCCCUAUAUUUCCCAAGAGAAUAGCUUCUGGGGUUUUUUACGAACAUUAUUUUAAACAUCUUUUUCAUUUCAUUAUAUAUCAUUUCCCAGUAAGCCUUAACCUUACUACAAGACCACCACAUAUGAUAAAAAGAACCUUCUUUCUCUUUACAUUUCCAACUCUUAUUUGAUUUAGAUUUCUACAUUUUUGCCAGUUUACUCGGUGUUAGAUACCAUCGAUAUAUCAAUUUCAUAUAAUUUUCUCAUAACACGCUGUAAUUUUUAUUACAACAACCCUUUGAGGUAGGCAAGGAUGAGAAUUAGCGCCUGUUUCGAGGGCAGCCAAUGUUUUUUAUUGCUGAGUAGGGACAUGACGACAGGGUCUUAGACUACGAUCCUAGAAAACACCCUAACUAGAGAGUAAGCCCCUUUGGACAUAGUAGGAUUUACUUCUGUGUAAAGAUACAUGGAAUUGUAGGGCUUUGGCUGUGUACAUAUAAAACACAUGGCUUCCUCUCUCCCCAAAAGAUUCCUGGGAACUGUAGUUUGCCUCUCACAGCGCUACACUUUCCCGUACCCUUAGCAAAUAACAGUUCCCAAGAUUAUUGGAGGGUAAGGGGAUGUGGUUUUAAAUGCAUAGAUGUUAGGAUAGAGAUGAUAAAGAAAACAGGAAAACAGGAAGACACAAUGAGAGAUAAAGGAGGUGCUGUGGGAUUGGUGGAAGUCAAUGUCUUGUUGUUGUUUUAGUGUUUUUAAUAUUAACUUGUGAGAUAGGGAUAUGUUUUGUUGUUGUUGCUUUCUUUAGUUUUCGAAUGUUGAUUUUUGUGUGUUGUGUAUUGUUAUUUUUUUAUAUCUUUCGUGUUGUUGUUGUUGUGUGGAAAAUACUAAUAAAAUUUAUUUCAAAUAAAUAAACAAAAUGCAUGGUGUGUACACAGCAUUUGUCUUUAAAACAACAACAACAACCUCAUUCAUCUCAAAUAAAAUUUAGCGGCAGAGAUAGCAUCUUUCUCCCAAGAACGGAUGACAUUACCAUUUCCGUGCAAAAAUAGCCAAACCAACCCCCGACAUUUCUCAGCGCACACAGCUCUCGACACAGGAUGUGAUGAAUUAAAUUCUGACUUGUAAGGCAACAAGGCGUGACUCAUCGGCUGGGAAAUUAAAAAUGGUGUGUGUGCUUUUCAUAGAGAAAUACAAACACAGCCUGCCUCCCGGGAAACCUUCUCGAUUCUGUGGAGUAGUGUAACUUGAAAAUCUAGCUGGGGAGUGGACUAUGCAGAAUUGGAUAAACUAACCGGAAGAAUUCGAAACCUGCAGGACCAGAGAUUCACAGAAGACUGGUGUAAAUUUACGGACUAUUUGAAAAGUAAUUGUGAUGACCAGAUUACGUUUGUAGGAUUGCAAGAAGUUUUGUGAGGUAAAUUAUUUGAAUUAUUGCAAAAAUGGUUAAAGAGGUAGAUUGUGAGUUGAGAUAAUUAAAGGCAAUAGGAAUUUAAGAAAUGCAGAAGAAAUGAUAAAAAUGGUGGAUCAUCAGAGGAGCUGAUGGAAGUCCAAAAAGAUUGCAUAAGAUGUGAAGUUCUGUGGAAUGUGUAAUAAUUGGUAUGUUGAAAUUAAUAAAAAUUUUAUAUAUAUAUAUAUAUAUAUAUAUAUAUAUAUAUAUGAAAAUCUAGCUGGAGAGAGCAGCAGAUCCUUCUCUUUAAACUCAGAACUGCCCCAUGUACAUUGGAAGAGAGGAACGUCCUUUUUUUUAUUGUGAAUUCGUGACGAUUUCUGUUCAGCACAAGCGCUGACUCCGACUCCAGUCCGCUUCCCCAGCGCUGGGAUUUAAGCCCUGUGUACACGAGGCUAGAAAACAUCUCCUGUACUAUCUUGAGAAAUAAUAUUCCUGCUGGAGGAGUCCUGCCUCAGACCUGGAGCUGAAGCUUGGCUGCUGAGCCCCGGUCUCUCGGUCUACCUCUGCAGGCUCAGCGAGGCUGAGAUCCCAGACACGGCGUGUGCUCCUAAUUUCCUCUGUUUAUUUGCCUUUCGUCCAGGAGGAAAGAUACCAGCCACUACCUCUCCAGGUUUACGAGCGGCAGCAGGCAGACGGUUUCGUAUGAGGCCUUUGCUAGCACUCUGCGGCUUUGACAGGGCCUCGGCAAACACCACUGACUUCUCCCGGCAGGAAGGCAAGAAGGCAGAGAAGCCAGAAAGGAAGGGGAUAGUCUUUCUUCUGACUCCAAGCUGACCCCUCUGCCAACAUAUUGUUCUCAUUUCACACACGGAGGGCCGGCCGCAGAGUUCAAGCGCCUGUCGCUUUUCAUCAUUCUCAGCUGCGCGGCGUCCAAGGCAGGACCUAACUUGGGCAUCCGUUCCAGAACCCGUUGUCAAAGCCGGGGGCUUGGUCCUUAGCAAACAGUGCCUCUGAGAGGGUGCAGAGUGCAUAGCUGUCAACCGUCCCUUAUUUGGCGGGAAACUCCCUUAUCCCAGCUCCGUGUCCUGCUGCUGUCCCUUAUUGAUGAUGCCCCUUAAAUUUCCCGGGUUUCAAAGGAAGCAGCUCCUCUCCCUCCCUCCCUGCCGGCCAAGGAGGAGGGAGGCUCCAACUGUGUUGCUUGGCUGCAUUGCUCACCCAAUAAGGAGUCUAAGAGCGACUGGGGGGUGGAGCUUGCAUGCCUUGUGCCGAUCAAAUUGGCCGCGUUGCCUGGGGACUCGCCUUUGCUCAGCGCUUCCCAGCAGAGAGGUGACGGUGGUUUUCCUUGCUGCAUCCCCUUUGCCAGGUUGCUGUGCUGUGGGAACCACUGCUUGAGGCUUCGUUUGGCUGCUGGCUGGGCUUUCUGCCUUUGGCUCGGAGGGGCUCAGAAGUUGAACAUACCUGUGCUUGGAAAAUCCCUUAUUUUGGCUGCUGAUCCCUUAUUUUUGAGGCUGCUGGUCCCUUAUUUUCAAAUCUGUAAGUUGACAGCUAUGGCAGAGUGUCAUCUAGGGGAACCGCACAAUUCGUUCCCCAGCAGACAUGAGCAGACAGUGUGGUGUAGUGCUUAGAGGACAGAGGAGGAACGGUGGGCUAGGAGGCAGAAUGCGGCCCCUCAGCCCUCUUUAUCCGGUCCUCAGGAUUCUCCCUGGGUCAUGCAACCACCUGAGCCACACCCCAGCCCUGUUUUGACCCUUCCUUGAGUGUCCAGGAUAUGCCCCUGAAGGCUGAUAAUGUCUCCUUGCUCGCCCAGAUGAGGAGAGUUGUGUGAACAGGUGUAGAAACGAGUCUAGUGUACAAAUUAACAGUUGUUGUUCUGUCCUGUUUUGCUUCUGGCCCCGCCCACAAUGGUCAUGUGGCACAAACACAUCUCAAAAACUGGAUUUUUGUCCUCAAGCUGGAAAAAGAUUCCUCACCCUGGGUCAGAGUGUUAGACUAAGUAAGACCUGGGAGACAAGAAGUCAAAUCUCCAAACACCCACAAAACUACACAAGCGACCUCAUUCUUUCAGCUUGACCUACUUCACAGGGAUGUUGUGAAGUUAAAAUGAGAACUGAGAAAGCCUUGGGUAUCGCCUUGAGUAUCUUGGAGGAAUUCAAGGGUGGGAUAAAAAUGCAACAAAAGGGCAGCUACGAAGUUCGAAUUACGUUUCAUGAAGUAGCUCUAAUAGUUAAUAUUCAUCUAUAGGAAAAGUAAAUCAAUAACUUGAAUUUUUUACUCCUUUCUCAAGACGGCCUUUCCUUCCAGAACGCCCUACGUUGGCAGUGGGCAAAUAAUAAUAAUUACAAGUAAUAGGACUCUGUGCAUGAUGCAAGACUUGCAUUUGGAAGAGUGGUAAAUCUCAACUUUUCCUUUGUUUGUUUGUUUAAGAAGGGAGCAAGUUUCUAGUUCUCAUGAAAGAGGACAACAACAAAAAGAGCCAACUUUGCAACGCUGAAGAAAAUGUGUUCACAGCUCUAAUUUGCCAGGGCAUCUUGUAGCUGGCCACCUGCUUUUGGAAUGCCCCCCAAAUCAUAUUUGCACAAUCCUAUAUUUAGACCACAGUGGGCUAACUCCUGCCAAAGGAGAAGCUCACAGGAGAUGUCAGUGUUAUUUUAUUCCUCCGACCUCAGUGCUGAUGUUUUUUUUUUGCCUGCCAGCCACUCUCAUGCCAUUGGUAUGCAUUGGGGAUUUGGGCCACACAGUUCUCUGGGUGGCCAUGGGUGAAGGCCUGUUAGCUGCUGAUCGGGCAGCAAAUAUCGGAAAUCAGUAAAUAUGUCCAUAAACCUGAACUAUGCUUUGAAAAGCCAGAGCUACAGAUUCUGUCAGCCUCUACCACCAAUGUGCCACAUCCCUCCAAGCUCCAACCCAACCCUGAGAGAUGCAGUGUGGUGCAGUGGUUAGGGUAUUGGGCUAGGACAAGGGAGACCUGGGUUCAAAUUCCACCUCAGCCACAAAGCUCGCUUGGUGAUCUUGGGCCAUUCGCUGCCUCUCUACUUAACCUACCUCACAGGGUUGUUGUGUGGAUUGUAAAUGAGGAGGGGGAGAACAACACGAGCUCCUUGGAGAAAAAGACAGGUUUUAAAUGCAAUAAAUAAAUGAAAUACUCCUGACUAGGGAUGGGCAAAUCUGUCAGUUUCAGUUUCUGCCAAUUUCUGUCUUAACUUCAGAUUUCUAACAUUAGAAAAAAGGCCUCCUGAAAAUGCGCCAGCAUUUUAACUCAAAUGUCGCCUCACAGACACAUCUUUGCCUGCAUAUACAUUUUUGCAAAGCAAUUUUUCCAGAUUCAAUAUGUUUAUAUGUUACUUUCAUUAAUAUAUGCAUAUAUAUAUUUGCACUCUUUAUUAUAUCUGCUCCUGGUUAUCUCCUCCCCAUCAGCUCCUGCCCCCUUACUUUCUCCAUUUCAGCAAAAUAAUUUGGGUGGUGAGAGGAGCUAUUUUGUUCCCAAACCAUGAGAAACCCUUGAUGAUCUACCAGAAACCAAAGAGAGGUCUGCCAGCAGAUUCCAGUACACCAAGUGCCAACGCCUGAGGUACUGGCCCCGGAACGUCCUGCUUUCGUACCACAUUGGUCAGAGUAAGCUCCCCUCAGAAAGUCCACCUCGGUUUACGACUUUGCAGAUGCAUUAGCGGCACAGCCCCAGGUCCGGAUUAUGGCCCCCAGGGCUCUCCAUCAGGCCCUCAGGACUCUCCCUAGGCUGUGCCCUCUCCUCUAGCCACAACCCCUCAUUGGCCAGGCUCCAUGCGGCUCAAGGCCGCAAUAUAAGGUUGUCAUAUUUUGGCAAAGUUGUUGAGCUUCUUUCAGCAAUUUCUGCCCGGACACAGUUUUCCGACGGCCGAAUCCCCGCUAUGUCCUGGAGGGUGGCAGCACAAGAAUGGCCUUUUUUGUGGUGGCUCCCUGUUUCCGGAAUGCUCUCCCCUGGGAGGCUCGCCUGGUGCUUUCAUUAUACACCUUUAGGCACCAGGCGAAGACUUUCUUCUUUGGCAGAUUGACAUCCGAUGCCCUUUUAAAAUGUGUUGUGGAUGUGGGGAGCAUUAUUGGUUUGUUUUUGUUCUUAUUGUGUGUUUUUACAUUGCAAUUUUUUGUGGUAACCACCCUGAGACCUGCGGGUAUAGAAGAAGAGGAGUUUGGAUUUGAUAUCCCGCUUUAUCACUACCCUAAGGAGUCUCAAAGCGGCUAACAUUCUCCUUUCCCUUCCUCCCCCACAACAAACACACUGUGAGGUGAGUGAGGCUGCGAGACUUCAAGAAGUGUGACUAGCCCAAGGUCACCCAGCAGCUGCAUGUGGAGGAGCGGAGACACGAACCCGGUUCACCAGAUCAAGAGUCCACCACUCUUAACCACUACACCACACUGGCUCUCCACCACACUACUUACGAAUGUAAUACAGUGGUACCUCUGGUUGCGAACGGGAUCUGUUCCGGAGCCCCAUUCACAACAUGAGCAGAAUGCAACCUGCGUCUGCGCGGGUUGCGAUUUGCCACUUCUGCGCAUGCGUGUGACAUCAUUUUGAGCGUCUGCGCAUGCGCAAGCAGCAAAACCCGGAAGUAACCCUUUCCGGUACUUCCGGGUCGCCAUGGGACGCAACCUGAAAAGAUUUAACCUGAAGCAAACGUAACAAGAGGUAUGACUGUAAAUAGAUAAAAUAAUAAAACCCCUUCCUCAGGAGAUUUAGGAUGUCUGGAAUGUGUCCUUGAACUGCGACAAUGCAUCUUGCUUCCUCAGAUAAACAGUUUGUGUGUGUGUGCGUGUGUGUGUGUGUGCGUAGAGAAACCUAUGAUUUGCAUUUCGAAUGUCGCACUGAUCUGUUCAUGUUCGUCUUUGGCCCUGCCCACAGCUGAGGUGCGGCCCCAGGAAAGUUCCCCAUGAGCAAAUUGUGGCCCUCAGACCGAAGGUUCCCUGCCUUUGCCUCGGCACCUGCAAAUUUCUGCCAUUUCUGCCUGCACCCUGAAUCUGUUCAGUAACCCGGGGACACCUCACUGCCCCCCCGUCCCAAGAUACAAAAGCUCUCUUUUUAAAAGCCUUGGGAAGCUUCCGCCGUGAACUCUAAAUGAGCCUCCGGACGUGAUGUGUUCCAAAUGGCUUAUUGGUACGUGUGCGAGGAAGGAGCAAGGGUGGAAGUCAAAGGAGGCCCCGGGAGAGGCUGUUCCGAGCUUCUAAUAACGGCAAGUGAUUUGACAAGCACAUGGGUCUCCAACUCAGAUCACUUCCAAAACUAAGUGCUUAUGAAAACGCCAAGCACUCCACCAGCUUUAAAUCUUUCGGCGGGGGCCGCUGGAUUUAAACCACCAGCACAGGUUUUUUCUUCUUCCUCUCCCCCCCCCCCCUUUUCCUCCCUCUGACUUUUUAAGUAACACUUCAGGUUGGAACCAAGUCAAACACUUUAGAGGCUGCAGGCAUAUUGAACUGAUUUGGAAAUAUGUUAGGGAGAGGAGGAGGAGGGUGCAGUAAAUUAUAUUUUUAAACUCUUUGUCUUGAAAAGGGGGCGGUUUGAAGUCUGAGAAACGAGGAGAUCGGCUAGAACUGGAAUGUAUUAAGCGGGGCCCGGCCGAUGACUGCGGACCAACAAGAUCUGCUUGGUUUUCUGCGAGAGCAUGCAGUGAUAUUUGCAUGGGUGACACACUUGUUCUGAGAUGGGCAAGAUGCUGAUUCACAGAACUAAACAACACGCACCCCAGUCAAUACAGGCUGCACGUGAGGGGUCUGACCUAGAUAACGUCUCCUGCCGCUGUGUUCCUAUCUGGGUUGUUUUGGCUGCAGUCAGCGCCUUGAAAAGUCAAGCACAUAUUUACUGGAAGGUCGCUUAACUCAUUUGCACAACACAUACAUCUGGGGAAGGGCUGUAGCUCACUGCUAGAGCAUCUGUUUGCACGAGGAAAGUGCCAGGUUUAAUUCCUGGCAUCUUCAAGUCGGGCUGAGAGAGACUCCUGAAAUCCUACAGAGGCCGCGGCCACUUGUGGUGACAACACUGAGAUAGCUGGACCAGUGGUUUGACUCAGAAUAAGGCAACUCACAACGUCCCAGUGUAACUUAGAGAUGCUUUUUCACUGCUACAUGAUCUAGUGAUUCCCACCAAUUUGCACGGCUCUGUAAAGGGCAUUAGUCAAGCCUAGGGUUCAUCCUGUUUGGUUCGUAACUUCUAGGCACUUUGCCGCUGAAUCUAAGCAAACAUCAAUCGGGUUUUCUGCAUUUUGGCUUUUGCUCCAGAUCUGAUAGAGCGGUUGUUCAUGGGGAAAGGAGCAGGGAGAAUCUGCGACCAGAAAGAAGAGGAACAUCAAGAAGACUAGAAGAAAUUUAAAGACUAUUUGAAUAAAUAUUGUAAUAUUAAAGAUAUGUAAUCACUUGAAAGAAACUAUUAGGCCUAGGAUUAAACUGGAAUUAAUUUUAUAAAUAAGAAAAUGUACGAUAAGGAAAGUUAUGUAAUAUGAUUAGGACUGUGAUGUGGUCUUUUGAAACACUGAUACUGGAAACUGCUACAUAUAAUUACUAAGAAAUUCGGAUGGAAGAGAUUCGAGGAAGUCAAAUACUAUGUUUAUGAAGAUGGAUGGUACUUAAUUUUAAUUAAUUAAGUGGUAAUAUGCUGUAUGUAUCUUUUUUCUUUUUUCUCUUUUUCUUUUAUUCUUUGUUCGUUUUUAUUAUUGUUAAUCUUUUUUUUUUCUAUGUUUAUCUACUGAAAAUAAUAAAUAUUAUUUGAAAAAAAAGAAAAGAAAGGAGCAGGAUGAAAGAAAAUCUGUCUGUUUGGGUUUCUCAUUUUUCCAGUCUUAGGUUCAGUUUGCCACUCCCUCCCACUUUUUUUAAAGGAGGGGAAAGCAAACUAUGAAAAGUUUGCCAGCAUUUUAAUACACGUUUUUGAUGCAAUUUUGCCUAAUAAACUUUCGUGAAAGUAAGAGCUGUUUCCCUUGGUUUCCCUUGCAAGGUGCUAGGCACUCCUUCACUGGUGGUUUUUAAGCAAAGGUUAGAUGGCCAGCUGUCAGGGAUGCUUUAGCUGUGAUUCCUGCAUUGCAGGGGGUUGGACUAGAUGACCGCUGGGGGUCCCAACUCUGCAGCUCCAUGGUUCUAUCCAAAUUGCUGCCUUUUGCAAUAGCGAGUUCCAUAAGACAACGGUAUCAUGCGGUAGGUGACAAAAACCCUUCCGUUUCUGUCCUGAAUCUGCUACCAGCAAAUGGGUUCAGGGCAGGCUGCUGACGCGUGUUUUGAGCGUGUUGUCAAGAGAACUCUUUAAACAGAAAAUCUCCUGCCUGGCUGUGAGCGGAAAUCUUACGACAGCAGUGCUCAAGACUCAGGAAGGCGAAAGUGAAACUUCUACAAGCAUCUUUGCUGCUGAAGAAAGAACAGGAAGGUGGAGGGAGGAGGGAAGGGGGGGAAAACACCCAUUGAAGAAACAUGAAUAGCUUCUUCUUCUUCUUCUUCUUCUUCUUCUUUUGGAGGUAAGUUUUUAAAAAACACCAUUGCAGAAAUGACAGGUUACAUGUUACCUUUAGAUCGAAAAUAUUACUUUUAUGAUAUUUCAAACAUAUAAUAUUAGGUGAUGCAUUACUCAAUAAGCAGGCUAAGCGUGUGCUUAGCAAAGCAAGGAUACACAAAACAGAGAUUAAUAAUAAUAAUAAUAAUAACAUUUGAUAUUUCAAAAAAGGCAUUGAAGGAGUCAUCAUGGGGGAAAGCAGAACUUCCUUUCACUCCCCUCUUCUCUUUUUAUUCCUUAGCCUCACCUAAACCAGGGUCCAGUCCUACUAACAUUUUUCUUUUCAGUGCUUAAGGGUCUCUGAAGGUUUUAAAUUGGACCCUGGUAUUAGGCGUAGAUUUGAAAAUAAAAGUAGAUUUAUUGGCAACUGCAAGAAUCUGCGUGGCCGGACACUGGAAAUAGCGCAAGGCCCAAGGCUUCGGCAGGUUGGUUUGAGAAAAUGUGGAAGGGAGUGAUAAUGAUCAAAUUAAGAUAUUACCAAAAGGGGACAGUUGUCUGACCCCGGAAUAAGCUAACGGGAAGAUGGACGCUUUUUUAAACGUUCUGGAAUGACAAAUGCCACAAGGACAAUAUUCAACCAUACAGAUCGCCUCUGCUUUGCUGUGAUAUGCAGAACAUCACUCGCCCGUGUUUAUUUUUCCUCUUUUUGUACAGAUAGUAUCUCUACUUUAUUGUAACAUUUGUAAAACGAACAAAUAAAUAAAAGGAAAUGCGAAGUGCCUUUACACCGUGUGCAUAUCCACAAUCACCUGCCACAAAGUUGACACACUUUUGACUAUCGUUUUGUGAUGAUAAAUAGUUACACAAUAGCCAAAGUAUGUCCUUUCUACCACUCCUUUCUCCUGCUUUUUAGAUGAUAAAAGCUGCACGUUUUGUUUUGUUUUUCCUUUUGCUGUGUGCAGUCCAGAUGUCUCCCUUCUUAAAUUCGAUUCGUUGUGGGGGGGGCUUCAAACAAACAACAAAAGGAAAGGAGCAACUGGAUCCUUAACAUGGUUGCUUGGAAGCAGGGCUGCAACUUUCAAGAUCCCUAUUUACAUGGAAGUAAGUCAAGAGAGAAGGGACGCGGGUGGCGCUGUGGGUUAAACCACAGAGCCUAGGACUUGCCAAUCAGAAGGUCAGCGGUUCGAAUCCCCCGCGACUGUGUGAGCUCCUGUUGCUCGGUCCCUGCUGCUGCCAACCUAGCAGUUCGAAAGCACACCAGUGCAAGUAGAUAAAUAGGUACCGCUCUGGCGGGAAGGUAAACGGCGUUUCUGUGCGCUGCUCUGGUUCGCCAGAAGCGGCUUAGUCAUGCUGGCCACAUGACCCAGAAGCUGUACGCCAGCUCCCUCGGCCAAUAAAGCAAGAUGUGUGUCUCAACCCCAGAGUCGGUCACGACUGGACCUAAUGGUCAGGGGUCCCUUUACCUUUACCUUUAAGUCAAGAGAAUGUAAGAAGAUAACCGUUGGAUCAGGCCAAGGGCAUGGCUGUAUCCAGCUGCAGGCAUCAUGGCUCCAUGAAAAGUCCCAUUGAAUUCUAUGGUGCUCACUUCUGAGUAGACUUGUAUAGGGUUGUGCACUAUUAGCAGAAUAAUCCAUUAAAAAUCUUGAAAUCCGUUAAAAGGUACUCCUGAUUAAUCAUGCAGUACUUAUUUUUCUGGCUGUUAAUGAUGCACACAGGUAUUUUACACAGACUCUUCUGAGGAACAAAUUAUAUGUUGCAUGAAUUCUUUUUCUUUCUUUCUUUCUUUCUUUCUUUCUUUCUUUCUUUCUUUCUUUCUUUCGCAGCACAGGUGGGGCAAGAUUAAUCUCUUCUCCCUGCACAUCAGUCGUGAACGUGCCUCCAAGCAGCUGCUAUUUACAGUUAAAAACAGAUUGCACUUAACCACAGAUUUCACCCAAUGCCAAACUAGCAAAGUUACACGUAGGCUUGGCCUGGAGAGAAAGGCAGAUGGCCAUUGUGUAGGUGCGCGCAUCAUUUCUAAGCUGAUGUUUCCGCCCUAGCCUCACGACAGGCGUUUUCCCCCAUAUGCAAAUAUAUGCAGAUUUAAUGGCUGGAUUAAUUGAUUCAGACUCGUGCAAUUAAUCAACUAGGAUUUCUUUAAUUAAGGGCACUUCCAGACUGUCGCUGUUUUCUGGUGGGACUCAAUUAUAUACUGGCAACUUGAGGCCUGCAAACUUAAAAGUUGGUUUGAUGCGUUUGCCAGCCCCCCCGCCCCAACACCCCAGAUAAAAGCCAGAUUUUGCACAAUAAGGAAAGUGGCCGGGACGUUCAGACUAUUGUAUUUUAAUAUUUUGUUGGAAGCCGCCCAGAGUGGCUGGGGAAACCCAGCCAGAUGGGCAGGGUAUAAAUAAUAAAUUAUUAUUAUUAUUAUGGCCUAGAGACCCUCCCAGCAAACAAGAGCCAGUGUGGUGUAAUGGUAAGAAUGUCGGGCUAGGAUGUGGGAGACCAGGGUUGAAAUCUCCACUGGGCCAUGAAGCUCAUUGGGGGAAUUUGGGCCAAUAUCUCUCCCUCUGUGUGUGUGAAGGCAGCCCUGUUUAGGGAAGUUUUUAAUAUUUAAUGCUGUAUUGUUUUUAACACUCAAUUGGGAGCCACCCAGAGUGGCUGGGGAAACUCAGCCACAUGGGCGGGGUAUAAAUAAUAAAUUAUUAUUAUUAUUAUUAUUAUUAUUAUUAUCUGCCUGCCUUUGCCUAACCUACUUCACAGGGUGGGGAUUAAAUGAGGAGCAGGACAACCAGGUAUGCCACCAUGAGCUCCUCAGAGGAAAAGAUGGGGUGUAAAUUAAAUGCAAGGGUGGCGCUGUGGGUUAAACCACAGAGCCUAGGACUUGCCAAUCAAAAGGUCGGCAGUUCAAAUCCCCGUGACGGGGUGAGCUCCUGUUGCUCGGUCCCUGCUACUGCCAACCUAGCAGUUCGAAAGCACAUCAAAGUACAAGUAGAUAAAUAGGUACCAUUCUGGAGGGAAGGUAAAUUGCGUUUCCGUGCACUGCUCUGGUUCGCCAGAAGCGGCUUAGUCACGCUGGCCACAUGACCCGGAAGCUGUACGCCGGCUCCCUCGGCCAGUAAAGCGAGAUGAGCGCCGCAACCCCAGAGUCGGUCACGACUGGACCUAAUGGUCAGGGGUCCCUUUACCUUUAAAUUAAAUGCAAUGCAAUGCAAUGCAAUAAAAUAGAAUAGAAUAGAAUAGAAUAGAAUAGAAUAGAAUAGAAUAAAAUAGAAAACAGGAUGGACACUCAGUUCUUUUGGAAGGGACUUAAGUGCCAACCAGGCUCAGAAGUAAGUCCCACUAAGUUCAAGGAGACUUCUUUCCAGGGAAUCCUGUCCCUCCCUCCCUCCAAUCUCUCUGCCGAAUGUUCACAAAGUGACACUCUUGCUCAACGGCGUUUGUGGGUUUUUGUGCAAUGCAGUGGAAUCUGCACACGCACUCAAACACACACACACACACACACACACACACACACACCAUUGCACAGGCCAAAGGAUUCCCUCCUGCCUUUUCCGUCCCCAGAGAAUUCUGCUGUUAGUAAAAAGGGAGCUGAGGUGGUUUUUUUGGCUGUGAUCUGACAGGAGCCCGAACCAUCUCGGCAGCAGGCGUCGGGACUAUUUAUAGAGCUGAGGCGGCUGGAGUAAUAUGCUUACCUUGCUUGCACUCCUUGUCUUCACUCAGCAGGGCAGCUUAGGAGGGGAAGUCGGGCCUGGCAGAGGAGGAGCGGGUGCUGGCAGGUGUGGGGUGCGUGGGGAGGGAGGGAUUGGGGGCUAUUGAGCAAAAAAGGAUCGUCAGUCUUCAAGGGAGUAGAGUCUGCUUAGGCUUCUCUGCUCUGGAGGGUAAAUAAUAGUAGCGUGUGUUACUGCAUAGUGUGGGAUAAUGCAACAUUUACCUCCCUCUCAUUAUGUUAGACCUCAUGUGCACCCAGCAAAGGUUUUUCUAAUCUUGAAUUCAGUUCUCCACAAUUCCACAUCAGCUCACGAUUUCUUGGCUUCGAGGCAUAGCUGUCAACCGUCCCUUAUUUGGCGGGAAACUCCCUUAUCCCAGCGCUGUGUCCCGCUGCUGUCCCUUAUUGAUGAUGUCCCUUAAAUUUCCUGGGUUUCAAAGGAAGCAGCUCCUCUCCCUCCCUCCCUGCCAGCCAGGGAGGAGGGAGGCUCCAGCUGUGUUGCUUGGCUGCGUUGCUCAUCCAAUAAGGAGUCUAAGAACGACUGGGGGGUGGAGCUUGCAUGCCUUGUGCCGAUCAAAUCAGCCACGUUGCCUGGGGACUCGCCUUUGCUCAGCGCUUCCCAGCGGAGAGGUGACGGUGGUUUUCCUUGCUGCAUCCCCUUUGCCGGGUUGCUGUGCUGUGGGAACCACUGCUUGAGGCUUCGUUUGGCUGCUGGCUGGGCUUUCUGCCUUUGGCUCGGAGGGGCUCAGAAGUUGAACAUACCUGUGCUUGGAAAAUCCCUUAUUUUGGCUGCUGAUCCCUUAUUUUCGAGGCUGCUGGUCCCUUAUUUUCAAAUCUGUAAGUUGACAGCUAUGCUUCAAGCCC